CGUGAUGUAGUUUAUAAAAAUAUUUAUUUUACACAUAAAAGAACUCUAUUUAUGAGCUUCACUA
This 64-nucleotide transfer RNA is filed under the name Cladotaenia vulturi. Its description in RNAcentral is "tRNA-Val". Lineage: Eukaryota; Metazoa; Platyhelminthes; Cestoda; Cyclophyllidea; Paruterinidae. The record is from RNAcentral.